UUAAAAAAUCUUCUACUCUAAGACUUAAAUUAUCAAAUAAAUUUAUCACCACUAGAUUUUUCUCUAAAAAGCUUACCCAUCUAAUCCUACAUUUAUUUUUAUAUACUGUUAAAAUAAGUAAAUUAUUACUAUUCCCCUUUCCAACUCGACCCUCUUUAAGGAGCCUGUUUAACAAAAACAUAGCCUACUAUUUAACUUAGGUACAACCCUGCCCUCUGACUUUUAACAGCCGCGGUAUCCUAACCGUGCUAAGGUAGCAUAAUCACUUGCCUAUUAAUUAUAGGCUAGAAUGAACGGGAUCACUCACUUAAACUUAUUUUUAUUUAAAUUUAAAUUAAACUUUAAGUCAAAAUACUAAAUUAAAAAGAAAGACAAAAAGACCCUGAAAACUAUUAGAAAUAAUUAGUUGGGGCAACUAUAGACCACUCUAGCGUCUAUUUUUUUUAACUCUUAAAAUCUAAAGUAUCCAGUUACUUCAGGGAUAACAGACUAAUUUUAUUAUUUAGACCCAAUAAAUAAUAAAGAUUGGCACCUCGAUGUUGGCUUAUAUUUCCUUCAUAUAGCAACAUAUAUAGAAGGCAGCUUGUUCAUCUGUUAAAUAUUUACAUGAGCUGAGUUCAGACCGGCGUAAGC
This 633-nucleotide ribosomal RNA is filed under the name Stygocapitella sp. 219_07. RNAcentral describes it as "partial large subunit ribosomal RNA". The stretch from base 377 to 633 matches the Rfam family "Archaeal large subunit ribosomal RNA", at positions 2162 to 2695 of the family's 2987-position model. The record is from RNAcentral. Lineage: Eukaryota; Metazoa; Annelida; Polychaeta; Parergodrilidae.